RNAcentral lists this non-coding RNA (29 nucleotides) under Homo sapiens (human). Lineage: Eukaryota; Metazoa; Chordata; Mammalia; Primates; Hominidae. The record is from RNAcentral.
GCUCCUGAUAAAUGACCGUUUCCUGCAAA